AGUUUGAUCCUGGCUCAGGAUGAACGCUAGCUACAGGCUUAACACAUGCAAGUCGAGGGGCAGCAUGGUCUUAGCUUGCUAAGGCCGAUGGCGACCGGCGCACGGGUGAGUAACACGUAUCCAACCUGCCGUCUACUCUUGGACAGCCUUCUGAAAGGAAGAUUAAUACAAGAUGGCAUCAUGAGUCCGCAUGUUCACAUGAUUAAAGGUAUUCCGGUAGACGAUGGGGAUGCGUUCCAUUAGAUAGUAGGCGGGGUAACGGCCCACCUAGUCUUCGAUGGAUAGGGGUUCUGAGAGGAAGGUCCCCCACAUUGGAACUGAGACACGGUCCAAACUCCUACGGGAGGCAGCAGUGAGGAAUAUUGGUCAAUGGGCGAGAGCCUGAACCAGCCAAGUAGCGUGAAGGAUGACUGCCCUAUGGGUUGUAAACUUCUUUUAUAAAGGAAUAAAGUCGGGUAUGGAUACCCGUUUGCAUGUACUUUAUGAAUAAGGAUCGGCUAACUCCGUGCCAGCAGCCGCGGUAAUACGGAGGAUCCGAGCGUUAUCCGGAUUUAUUGGGUUUAAAGGGAGCGUAGAUGGAUGUUUAAGUCAGUUGUGAAAGUUUGCGGCUCAACCGUAAAAUUGCAGUUGAUACUGGAUAUCUUGAGUGCAGUUGAGGCAGGCGGAAUUCGUGGUGUAGCGGUGAAAUGCUUAGAUAUCACGAAGAACUCCGAUUGCGAAGGCAGCCUGCUAAGCUGCAACUGACAUUGAGGCUCGAAAGUGUGGGUAUCAAACAGGAUUAGAUACCCUGGUAGUCCACACGGUAAACGAUGAAUACUCGCUGUUUGCGAUAUACAGCGAGCGGCCAAGCGAAAGCGUUAAGUAUUCCACCUGGGGAGUACGCCGG
Molecule: ribosomal RNA, 886 nt
Filed under: uncultured Bacteroides sp.
Lineage: Bacteria; Pseudomonadati; Bacteroidota; Bacteroidia; Bacteroidales; Bacteroidaceae
Description: bacterial SSU rRNA
Rfam family: Bacterial small subunit ribosomal RNA
Source: RNAcentral